RNAcentral lists this long non-coding RNA (108 nucleotides) under Zonotrichia albicollis (white-throated sparrow). RNAcentral describes it as "lncRNA (ENSZALG00000002839.1)". The record is from RNAcentral. Lineage: Eukaryota; Metazoa; Chordata; Aves; Passeriformes; Passerellidae.
GAAGAUCUUACACAAGCUUAAAAAGGUCUUAAAAUAAGCAGGAAUUAUAAGCACAAAUUCCAAUGUCUUUCUGGGGCAUUUGUCUGCAUGAACCUUCUGAGGAAUGGG